UGUGCCUUUUCUUUUUUGGCAUUCUUCACUUCCUCCUCUAUUCGCUUUUUCUCCUUCUUCCUCUUUUUUUUCUCUUCCUCCUUCUUUUUGGCAUUUCUUAUUUGUUCCUCUAUUUUCUCCGUUAUUCAUCUAUUCCAUCACUUUCAGUUGCUUCGUAAGUUCCUUUUCCUCAAUCUUUCGGUGAUUGUCUUUUUAUUUCAAUUUACUUCCUAUAGUCGACAGUUCAUUUUCCUGUUCUUUCAAACGAAUUCAAAUCUCUCCUCCACGUCAUUUUUCUUCCCUUUCCUUUUGUAGCAGCACUUUUUUGAGAAAAGUCGAUCAAAGAAUGAGAGAACCGCCAUCUGUUCUCAAGAAUAUUAUUGUCCACUUCGAUCAAUUCAAUUGUUUUCACCGUUACGAAGCAACAACGAAACAAUAAACAAAAAGAACAACAUAUCAACAGCAGCAGCUCAAAAUGACUAAACCACUCGAACGAGCAGCACACAUUCAGCAUCGACUGACUAGAAAGAAGUCGAAAGAUGAUUUGCCUCGAAGUGGCUUUGACUGAUGAAAUAGAAGCUAGCAUUUGAACGGCAAGAAAGAAACCAAUGAAUGCAAAAAGAAACUAACAAAAGCCGAACUUGAAGAAGACACUUAAGAUAGUGCUGCUGCAAAAGGGGAGGGAAGAAAAAGAACGAGAUCGGGAGGCUCGGAUUCGUUUGAAACUACAUCAAAAAGAAUGGUCGGCUAUAGAAAUUAAUUAAAACACUAGGACGAACAGCGAAGAAUUGGGAAAAAUGAGCUUACAAAGGAACUGUAAGUGGAGGAAAAGACCAGAACAGAGAAAACAGAGGAACAAAUGGGAAAGGCCAACAAGAAGGGGCAAGAGAAAAAUGCGAGGAAGGAGGAGAGAAAAGGAAUGGGAGAGGUAUAAAAGAAUGCGAGAAAUGAGAAGGCACUAAAGCGAGUGACAUCUUCUUGGAAUCAUUGAAAAAUUUCCCAACACAGUUAAUAACACUACAUCAGCAAACAAAAGAAACGUUUUGAUGGAAAGAAUAAAUACAACCAACAAUUGAUGAUUUGCAAGUAGCUUCACUGAAUGAUGGACUAAGGUGAAGGAUAUAUUUACUGGCAUUGUACCACAAGAGUCGGACGAAAUGGGUCUUGGCAAAACGUUCAAGGGAUCGCAUUAAUCUCGUACCAGCUGCAAAGUGAAAUGUCCCCAGCUCAUACAGGAUAGUCAACCACAGUGAUUCCAAACUGGAUUAACGAGUUAGUGCUUCGCUGAUUCGCCACCGAAACUCCUAUUGUUGAUUUUCCCGACGGGACGACGAGCCAAGCCUAAGAUCACCACGUUCUGUAAAGUUGGAGAACAUGUUGUCCCUGUUUACAGUUUUAAUGGUAUUAACAAAAAGGAGUAUUUUUCACUGUUCCCGAGAAGAUAUUUCAUUCCUGCGCCUUUUCUUUUUUGGCAUUCUUCACUUCCUCCUCUAUUCGCUUUUUCUCCUCCUUCCUCUUUUUUUUCUCUUCCUCCUUCUUUUUGGCAUUUCUUAUUUGUUCCUCUAUUUUCUCCGUUACUCAUCUAUUCCAUCACUUUCAGUUGCUUCCUAAGUUCUUUUUCCUCAAUCUUUCGGUGAUUGUCUUUUUGUUUCAAUUUACUUCCUAUAGUCGACAGUUCAUUUUCCUGUUCUUUCAAACGAAUUCAAAUCUCUCCUUCACGUCAUUUUUCUUCCCUUUCCUUUUGUACCAGCACUUUUUUAAGAAAAGUCGAUCAAAGAAUGAGAGAACCGCCAUCUGUACUCAAGAAUAUUAUUGUCCACUACGAUCAAUUCAAUUGUUUUCACUGUUACAAAGCAACAACGAAACAAUAAACAAAAAGAACAACAUAUCAACAGCAGCAGCUCAAAACGACUAUACCAUUCGAACCAGCAGUACAUAUUCAGCAUCGACUGACUAGAAAGAAGUCAAAGAUGAAUUGCCUUGAAGUGACUUUGACUGAUGAAAUAGAAGCUAGCAUUACAACGGCAAAAAAAUAACCAAUAGAUGCAAAAAGAAACUAACGAAACCCUAACUUGAAGAAGACACUUAAGAUAGUGCUGCUGCAAAAGGGGAGGGAAGAAAAAGAACGAGAUCGGGAGGCUCGGAUUCGUUUGAAACUACAUCAAAAAGAAUGGUCGGCUAUAGAAAUUAAUUAAAACACUAGGACGAACAGCGAAGGAUUGGGAAAAUUGAGCCUACAAAGAAACUGUAAGUGGAGGAAAAGACCAGAACAGAGAAAACAGAGGAACAAAUGGAAAAGGCCAAGAAGGGGCAAGAGAAAAAUGCGAGGAAGAAGGAGAGAAAAGGAAUGGGAGAGGAAUAAAAGAAUGCAAGAAAUGAGAAGGCACUAAAGGGAUUGAUAUCUUCUUGGA
Aethina tumida (small hive beetle) is the source of this 2390-nucleotide long non-coding RNA. RefSeq lists it as uncharacterized. The record is from RefSeq and is a predicted model, not a curated record. Lineage: Eukaryota; Metazoa; Arthropoda; Insecta; Coleoptera; Nitidulidae. The transcript is spliced from 3 exons.